AGAGUUUGAUCAUGGCUCAGGAUGAACGCUAGCGGCAGACUUAAUACAUGUGAGUCGAGGGGCAGCGGAUCCCUCCGGGGAUGCCGGCGACCGGCGAACGGGUGAGUAACACGUAUGGAACCUGCCCUUAACCGGGAAAUAGCUUUGAGAAAUCGAAGGUAAUGUCCCAUACCAUCUGAAGAAGGCAUCUUUUUCAGAUGAAAGCUCCGGCGGUUAAGGAUGGCCAUGCGGUCCAUUAGCUUGUUGGUGAGAUAACCGCUCACCAAGGCUGCGAUGGAUAGCUGAUCUGAGAGGAUGAUCAGCCACAUUGGCACUGAGACACGGGCCAAACUCCUACGGGAGGCAGCAGUAGGGAAUCUUGGUCAAUUGGCGAAAGCCAGAACCAGUCAUGCCGCGUGCAGGAUGAAGGCCCUACGGGUCGUAAACUGCUUUUAUUCGGGAAGAAAAAGUCUGUUUCCACAGACCUUGACGGUACCGAUUGAAUAAGGACCGGCCAACUCCGUGCCAGCAGCCGCGGUAAUACGGAGGGUCCAAGCGUUAUCCGGAUUCACUGGGUUUAAAGGGUGCGCAGGCGGCUAAGUAAGUCAGUGGUGAAAGCCUUCGGCUCAACCGGAGAAUUGCCAUUGAAACUACUUAGCUUGAGUGCAGUAGAGGUAGGCGGAAUGUAGCAUGUAGCGGUGAAAUGCAUAGAUAUGCUACAGAACACCGAUAGCGAAAGCAGCUUACCACACUGUAACUGACGCUGAGGCACGAAAGCAU
This 759-nucleotide ribosomal RNA is filed under the name uncultured bacterium. RNAcentral's name for it is "bacterial SSU rRNA". It matches the Rfam family "Bacterial small subunit ribosomal RNA", at positions 8 to 762 of the family's 1533-position model. The record is from RNAcentral.